GGAGGGUGCAAGCGUUAUCCGGAUUCACUGGGUUUAAAGGGUGCGUAGGCGGGUUGGUAAGUCCGUGGUGAGAUCUCCAAGCUUAACUUGGAAACUGCCGUGGAUACUAUCAAUCUUGAAUAUAGUGGAGGUGAGCGGAAUAUGUCAUGUAGCGGUGAAAUGCUUAGAUAUGACAUAGAACACCCAUUGCGAAGGCAGCUCGCUACACUAUUAUUGACGCUGAGGCACGAAAGCGUGGGGAUCAAACAGGAUUAGAUACCCUGGUAGUCCACGCCCUAAACGAUGAUUACUCGACAUCAGCGAUACACUGUUGGUGUCUGAGCGAAAGCAUUAAGUAAUCCACCUGGGAAGUACGACCGCAAGGUUG
This 367-nucleotide ribosomal RNA is filed under the name uncultured bacterium. Its description in RNAcentral is "bacterial SSU rRNA". It matches the Rfam family "Bacterial small subunit ribosomal RNA", at positions 527 to 896 of the family's 1533-position model. The record is from RNAcentral.